Transfer RNA from Orchesella cincta, 84 nucleotides. It matches the Rfam family "tRNA". Rfam says of the family: Transfer RNA (tRNA) molecules are approximately 80 nucleotides in length. Their secondary structure includes four short double-helical elements and three loops (D, anti-codon, and T loops). NCBI's taxonomy places the organism in Eukaryota, Metazoa, Arthropoda, Collembola, Entomobryomorpha, Orchesellidae. The record is from Rfam.
GUCAGGAUGGCCGAGUGGUCUAAGGCGGUAGCUUCAGGUGCUAUUCAGAGAAAUCUGGCGUGGGUUCGAAUCCCACUUCUGACA